GAACGCACAUUGCGCCCGCCAGUAUUCUGGCGGGCAUGCCUGUCCGAGCGUCAUUUCAACCCUCGAACCCCUCCGGGGGGUCGGCGUUGGGGAUCGGCCCUUUACGGGGCCGGCCCCGAAAUACAGUGGCGGUCUCGCCGCAGCCUCUCCUGCGCAGUAGUUUGCACACUCGCAUCGGGAGCGCGGCGCGUCCAAUGCCGUAAAACACCCAACUUUCUGAAAUGUUGACCUCGGAUCAGGUAGGAAUACCCGCUGAACUUAAG
This 263-nucleotide unclassified non-coding RNA is filed under the name Trichoderma spirale. RNAcentral describes it as "sequence contains 5.8S rRNA gene". The stretch from base 1 to 53 matches the Rfam family "5.8S ribosomal RNA", at positions 102 to 154 of the family's 154-position model. Lineage: Eukaryota; Fungi; Ascomycota; Sordariomycetes; Hypocreales; Hypocreaceae. The record is from RNAcentral.